GGGUGGAGAAAAAUCCUCUCUCUCUCUCUCUCUCUCUCUCUCUCUCUCUCUCUCUCUUUCACAGAGACACAUACUGUGUGUGAGAGAGAUAGAGGGAGGGAGUGUGAGAGAGAGAAGGUCCAUUUUUCUG
Molecule: microRNA precursor, 130 nt
Filed under: Marmota monax (woodchuck)
Lineage: Eukaryota; Metazoa; Chordata; Mammalia; Rodentia; Sciuridae
Source: RNAcentral